AUUGAACGCUGGCGGCAGGCCUAACACAUGCAAGUCGAGCGGAUGAAGGGAGCUUGCUCCUGGAUUCAGCGGCGGACGGGUGAGUAAUGCCUAGGAAUCUGCCUGGUAGUGGGGGAUAACGUCCGGAAACGGGCGCUAAUACCGCAUACGUCCUGAGGGAGAAAGUGGGGGAUCUUCGGACCUCACGCUAUCAGAUGAGCCUAGGUCGGACUAGCUAGUUGGUGGGGUAAAGGCCUACCAAGGCGACGAUCCGUAACUGGUCUGAGAGGAUGAUCAGUCACACUGGAACUGGGACACGGUCCAGACUCCUACGGGAGGCAGCAGUGGGGAAUAUUGGACAAUGGGCGAAAGCCUGAUCCAGCCAUGCCGCGUGUGUGAAGAAGGUCUUCGGAUUGUAAAGCACUUUAAGUUGGGAGGAAGGGCAGUAAGUUAAUACCUUGCUGUUUUGACGUUACCAACAGAAUAAGCACCGGCUAACUUCGUG
RNAcentral lists this ribosomal RNA (484 nucleotides) under uncultured bacterium. RNAcentral's name for it is "partial 16S ribosomal RNA". It matches the Rfam family "Bacterial small subunit ribosomal RNA", at positions 30 to 507 of the family's 1533-position model. The record is from RNAcentral.